AUAGACGAACGGCGCGUCUUUAAACCAUGCGUCGGGAGCGCGGCGGGUUCAGGAUGAACGGCAAUGCUGCUCAUUAGCGAGAAGGCUUUUUUGCUUUUAGAAUUGUGAGCGCUCACAAUUCG
This 122-nucleotide unclassified non-coding RNA is filed under the name Shamshuipovirus HK022. RNAcentral's name for it is "RNA (122-mer) from Escherichia virus HK022 (PDB 7XUI, chain R)". Lineage: Duplodnaviria; Heunggongvirae; Uroviricota; Caudoviricetes. The record is from RNAcentral.